UGCGUAGGCGGAAAUAUAAGUCAGUGGUGAAAUCUUGCAGCUUAACUGUAAAAUUGCCAUUGAUACUGUGUUUCUUGAGUACAGUUGAGGUAGGCGGAAUGUGUAAUGUAGCGGUGAAAUGCUUAGAUAUUACACAGAACACCGAUUGCGUAGGCAGCUUACUAAACUGUAACUGACGCUGAGGCACGAAAGCGUGGGGAGCGAACAGGAUUAGAUACCCUGGUAGUCC
This 229-nucleotide ribosomal RNA is filed under the name uncultured bacterium. RNAcentral describes it as "partial 16S ribosomal RNA". It matches the Rfam family "Bacterial small subunit ribosomal RNA", at positions 568 to 796 of the family's 1533-position model. The record is from RNAcentral.